This 521-nucleotide long non-coding RNA is filed under the name Lathyrus oleraceus (garden pea). RNAcentral's name for it is "Pisum sativum (pea) long non-coding RNA (PSAT_LNC009175)". Lineage: Eukaryota; Viridiplantae; Streptophyta; Magnoliopsida; Fabales; Fabaceae. The record is from RNAcentral.
ACACGUGCAAAAAAUCUGGAAAAAACACCAUAAUAAACUAGAGGUCAAGAGGAGCAUUUCAUAAAAAAUCCCAUCAAAUUUGGAUUAAAAUUGAAGAACUUAUGAAUUUUCUAAGUUUGCCAAACCAAAUGAAAUAAUAAUUGAAAAAUGAAAUGAAAUGAUUAAACAUUAAAACACGGCCGUGGCAAAAAUGUAAAUAUGGGACUCACUAAGUGAAACGCCGCGUUUCACUUAGUGAGGUGGCACGCAGCUAUUCGCUUCAUGGGGCGGAAACGGGCAAAUCACAUGCAGACUUCACUUCCAAAGAUCAAACACGCAUAUGGCAUGGGAAAUUUAGGGUUCUAACGCGUUCAUCAUCAUUUUUUUCCAGCAAGAACAACUUGUGACCAAAAUCAACAAUCUAUAUACCAAUGUGUUCAUCUCACAGUGUACAUCAACAAUCCAAAGCUUAUUUUCACUAAUUCAAGCUAACAAGAAAGAAAUAAGCAAGAACACAUUUGACAACCAAACUUUAAUUCCAU